CUACGGAGGGUGCAAGCGUUAUUCGGAAUCACUGGGCGUAAAGGACGCGUAGGCGGGUUGGCAAGUCAGAUGUGAAAUCCUACAGCUUAACUGUAGAACUGCAUUUGAAGCUGCUAACCGAGAGUAUGGGAGGGGGAGAUGGAAUUAGUGGUGUAGGGGUAAAAUCCGUAGAUAUCACUAGGAAUACCGAAAGCGAAGGCGAUCUCCUGGAACAUAACUGACGCUAAGGCGUGAAAGCGUGGGGAGCAAACAGGAUUAGAAACCCUAGUAGUCC
Molecule: ribosomal RNA, 274 nt
Filed under: uncultured bacterium
Lineage: Bacteria
Description: partial 16S ribosomal RNA
Rfam family: Bacterial small subunit ribosomal RNA
Source: RNAcentral